GUCCAGUCCCUGGAAGAUGAAGUUAGUUAGCAUUUGGUGCCCAGCCAGCAGCAAUGUGACUUAGGCUUUUCGUCCUAGUAGGAAUUUGACUCAUUGGGCCUGCAAAAGAUUUUCGUGACAAAUGAAAUAUUUUUCUAAACCAAGGACUUGGGGAUAACUUCAGGGUCAAAGACAUCUUAUCAUAUUUAAGCCACAGGAUGUCUAGGAGCCAGCAGAGGGGCCAGAUAUGCUGCAGUUUAUGCUGUAAAAGGAAGCCUGCCGCCGUGAGUGGUCCAGUGGGAGCUCUUGCUUUGUGUCCUCAGCCUUUCACCUUUCCAUCUGAUGACUUGCUCUGAAUCUUCACUUCCUGGGCAGAGCUCUGAGUAUAGAUGAGGCAAACUUCACAUGGAAAAGAAGCCAUAUUUUGAAAAAACUACACGGAAUCAAAGAGAACUAACUCAAAGAAGCAAAAUUUUGGAGAUAAAACAAGCACCAUUCAGAAUCUGGACAUAUAAUAUGUUUAUGGCAUUUAACCUAGUCAGACAGUAGAUAUUGCUCUAAGUCAUGGCCUACACCUGUGAGCCUACUUAUAUCAGCAUUUGCCAAAUGUACUUGUAGCUGUGGUACUGACCUCAGAGAACUUAGCCAAAGAGCAAAGACUGCCUAAUUCAAGAAGUACUGGCUGUACAGGAAGCAUAAUGCCAGCAUCUGUUUCUGGUGAGGCCUCAGGAAGCUUUUACUUAUGGUGGAAGGUGAAGGAGGAACAGGUGUCUCACAGGGCAAGAGGAGCAAGAGGGAGCAGAGAAGAUGUUCCAGGAUUACUUCAUGCUGUCCAGGUCCUAGACAUGGAAUCGUUUGCUUCUUCAAAAGUCUGGAUCCCUUUAAGAUACGAAAUGUAUUUAGAAACCAAAGUAUGGAUGCUAGGUGUGCUCAUGGCCAUUGGAGUGUGUUUCUAGACCCAGGAAUAAGCAAACAAUGGCCUGUAAACUAUAUCCUGUCUGUGGCCUGUUUUUGUACAUCCUAAGAACUAAAAAUUAUUUUAAAAAUUGUAAAUGGGAAAAAGUCAACAACAACAAACAAAUCAACAAAUAACCCCACAAAUAAACAGUUUCUUAAAGACCAGAAUGACCAAGAAAUCUAUGAAACAGAGACCGUAUACUGCCCAG
Molecule: long non-coding RNA, 1145 nt
Filed under: Homo sapiens (human)
Lineage: Eukaryota; Metazoa; Chordata; Mammalia; Primates; Hominidae
Description: HSALNT0311155
Source: RNAcentral